Molecule: long non-coding RNA, 1465 nt
Filed under: Apteryx rowi (Okarito brown kiwi)
Lineage: Eukaryota; Metazoa; Chordata; Aves; Apterygiformes; Apterygidae
Description: lncRNA (ENSARWG00000000082.1)
Source: RNAcentral
AUUUACAGCGGUGGGACUGCAGGCGUUAGUCCCGUGUGCCCACAUCCUCACUCCCUGGUUUACUUAUUUCCUUCUUGCUUCUGUAAUCACACCUCUGUGCUGCAAAACCCACCUUCGGUAUAUUUGCUAGUACUUGAAGAUUUGUCAGGCCCCAGAGUGGAGGCACCAAGAAUUUAGAGCAAUGCUGGGGAAACUGGUUUUGAAAGAAAUGAGAUGGGUUCAAGACCUUAAUGGCCCAUCAACUUGUUCUGCUGUUUUGGCAGCUCUGUUAAUCUCUGCUUCUUCUGGGUGGCCUCUUGCAGAAGGGGGCCCAAGGAAAAUGUGUCGUGACCUGUGUUUGAAGGAGCUUGCAUCAAAGCAGGGCGAAGCUGGAGCCGCUUUCCUCUYUCAGUCCUGCUGACGAUAGAUGGAGUUGAGCCAGUAGUGCCUGCCUGAAGCCACAGCACCCCAAAUAUCAUGGUUUCCUACGCCAAAUAGACGUCUCUGAAAUAGAAGGUGUGAUACCGUCAUGGUUUGAUUUUCAUCUGCUUGGAGAACUUUAUCUCUUCAAAUGAAUCAGSAAGAUUUCAGUUGCUUAUUUUUCCAACAGCUUAAAAUUUUCAAACUUUCUGAUUUUUUUUCACAGAAAACCUCUAUAAAUAUUCUAUUUAUAAAAAGGACUUUUCUCUGUUUUUAUGCAGUGACCACUGUUACAUCCCUAUAAGAAUGCAAGUUCUGUUAACCUUUUUAAAGUGAACUUUCAUAUAGAACUUGUAUAUAUUUCCAUGUGGGUAARAAACUUUUUUAUACAACCUACCUUCAACUUCAGUCCUCCAAAGUUUCUGCAGUCCAAAUCAGAUGAGAAAGCAACUUAUCCAAGUAAUACUGUUGUGAGCUGGAGAUGAAAUAUUGUAUUUUCCUGUGCAUAUAGUAUCCCRUGUGCCAGUAAAUUCGUGUCAAUUGAGCCUAGCCUUAGGGAGAUUACUUACAAUUUUGUCCUGYCAGAGUGACAAAAGGCAGCCUGGAGCUGGUGUUCACUUUAUUCACUUCCACAUAUUCUUCAUAUCCUCAGGGCUAUUGCUUUUGUUUACUGUCACAGAUCUACAUGAGCGUUUUUAUAUUAYUAACUUAGGCUAGGAGCAUUCCCUUAAUUUUUGCCUUGUUUAGUUCCAGACUGUAAAUAACACUAACUGCUCAUGAAACUGCAUCUUGCAGAACUCUACCCUGGGGACUACUCAGAACUGGAAAAUUUCAUUGCUUUGACAGUCUGUACAGACUAGCAGUCUGGUUGGAAAUGGGUAAUCAUGACCCACUCCAAACUGCAGCCUCGCAGAGGAGAAAUACCGUAGAGUACUCUGCAGAAGAAAGUAUAYGGAAAGUACUUGUCAAGCCAUUUUCUCUAUAUAGUUCUUAUUUUGGCUCCCUCUCCCCUUACUCCCCAGGCAGUAUGAUGGGAAAAUAAACACAGAUACUUAUGUACGUUUCA